AUUGAACGCUGGCGGCAGGCCUAACACAUGCAAGUCGAGCGAGCGGCGGACGGGUGAGUAAUGUAUGGGGACUGCCCGACAGCGGGGGAUAACUACUGGAAACGGUAGCUAAUACCGCAUACUAUCGGAUAACCCAUAUGGGAUCAGCUAGUAGGUGGGGUAAUGGCUCACCUAGGCGACGAUCCCUAGCUGAUCUGAGAGGAUGAUCAGCCACACUGGGACUGGGACACGGCCCAAACUCCUACGGAGGCAGCAGUGGGGAAUAUUGCACAAUGGGCGAAAGCCUAAUGCAACCAUGCCGCGUAUAUAAGGAAGGCCCUGGGGUUGUAAAGUACGUUCAGUCGGGAGGCGUUACCGACAGAAGAAGCACCGGCUAACUCCGUGCCAGCAGCCGCGGUAAUAC
This 403-nucleotide ribosomal RNA is filed under the name uncultured bacterium. RNAcentral describes it as "partial 16S ribosomal RNA". It matches the Rfam family "Bacterial small subunit ribosomal RNA", at positions 30 to 526 of the family's 1533-position model. The record is from RNAcentral.